Molecule: long non-coding RNA, 2092 nt
Filed under: Mus musculus (house mouse)
Lineage: Eukaryota; Metazoa; Chordata; Mammalia; Rodentia; Muridae
Description: predicted gene 43065
Source: RNAcentral
UAAUUUCUUUUUUUUUCUUUUCUUUUUUUCUUUUUUUUAAUUUUGAGACAGACUAUCACUAAGUUGCCCAGGGAGACCUUGCCAUCCUCCUGUCUCAGGUCCCCAGGUAGCUAGACCUCAGGCUUGGGCGUCCUGGUUUGGCUGUGAAUCUAUCUUUAUUACACAGAUUGUCUAAUCCAGAGCCUUGCCUUUGCUAGACAGAGGUUCUACUACUCAGGUACUCAGCUACACCCACAGCCUAGUCAUUCUUUGUACAUUCCAAGCUUUUGUCAAAUGUAUUAACUUUUAUUUUAAAGUCUAUACUUUUUUUGUAGUUAAAAAAUAACUCCUAAAACUGUUUAUUCAGACAUAUUUAUUAAAUAUAAAGGACCCAUUGAGCUCGAAUGGUAGAAGCCCAUCUCUAAUGGCUGCAUUCAAGUGCUAAUGUAACUAGAACGUGCUGACAUUAUCAUAGCUUCUGCAGAUUUCAUCUAUCAUAGACACCAGGACACGUCUUGGUUCUAUGUGUAUUUACAGCAAUGAUUCUAAACAAAUGGUUAUAAGCACAGCAUCCCCUGCAUAGCAAGAAUUCAAACAUUUGUUGAACUGAAACAGCUCAUGAGAACGAGCCUGUCACUUGGGCAUACCAAUAAGCCUUUACUGAAGUAAGUGUUGUAUUUAUUAAGGUGUUUUAUUACUACCACCACCAGAAAGAGCACACUGACCUCUGCAGCUGAUUCCUCCUCAGUCCACCCUCGCUCAGCCUUUAACUCGGGACCAUCUAUUCCCGUAUCCUCAGUUACUCUCAGGGUAGUUUUGACAUACUCUUGCCAUUUCCUCGUCUUUUCAUACCUGAUUUAAAUGUCUUGGUUUAAUUACUGCAGUUUGGCUGUUGCCUACCCAGCUAUUCCCUUAACCAGUACUAUGGAACACCCUUGCCUGUCUUGUUAAAGAUGUCUCUGUGUCUACUCAGGGCCAGCCUCUUUGUCCAUUCCUACUGUUCAUAGUCCUGUCCACUAGCUGUAGAGGUCUAAACUCCUGACUCAAUUCCUUUGUACUCAUGCUUUCUCAGUCUUGUUGGAAGCUUGGUAAACCAUCUGCAUUCACAAGGCAACAAGAAGCAACUUUGCAGAGCUCCAGAGGAAGUCAGACUGUGGUUCAUUCUCCUCUUAGUAGUAUAUCAUCUGUAUGUUGGCGUCUCAAAUUGGGGCUCAUGUAAUUGAGUCACGAUGACUUUGGCAAGCAUAGGGUUCUGAAUGCCAAACAGCCAAAGUUUGAUUCAAAUUAAGUACAUCCUAGUGUUGCCUGGUGCAACACUGUUUCCUGCAGCCUGGAUCCGGAACACAUACACCCUCAGUUUGCACUCAGCCAGCCAGUGAGCCGUAAACACCAACACGCACUGCCUAAAACACCUCUGUUUGGGUUUAACUAUUAACAAAUGAACUGCAUCUCAUUUGUACAUACAUUUCAUUUGGGUGUACAUAUUUAUUUUUUCAAAACAGAGUAUCUGAGUAGUCCUGGCUGUCUUGGAACUUACUUUGUAGACCAGGCUGUCCUUAAUCUCAGAGACCCUCCUGCCUCUGCUUCCAAGUUCUAGGAUUAAAGACAUGCACCACCACUGCCUGGCUCUGUAUUGGUUUUAUUAAAAAUUCCAAACAAUAUGCAAGACCUACUAUACUCUGCACCAACAGGUCUGACUGACCCAAAAGGAGAUGAUGGAAACCAUGGCCUGGGAGGUACAGACAAUUACUUGAAAGGGAUGGUUAAUACAGUGAUUUCAGACAGUAAGAAGGCUUGCCAAUAUAUCUUUUUCAUGAUGUUCUUGCUAGAAAGGUGAAAUUGCAGGAGCCUGAGUCUGAACACUCUUGGAGCUUUGUGGUUAUGGUAGCAGUUCAGAAAGGCUCCUGGGGACAAGACAGGUGCUACAAGCCAAGCAAGCUUAUGGAUCUGAACCACCAGUCCAAGAAUCUGGUCAAAAUUCAGAUUUUCUUUACAAAAUAUGCUAUAUGUUUUAUUAUUCUCACACUUUUCAACUAUUAAAAGACAAAAACUAAAAAUAUAUAAAUAUUUUAAAGGAACUAUUUAUUUUUAUAUACAUAUGUAAGCAACAGUU